ACUUUUUGGUUUUAAAAUAAAUAAAAAAAGGAGAAAAAGUAAGGAUCAAUCCUUACAUAAGGAAUUUAAGGAUCAGGUCCGUAUCUACGUGGCAUUGGCAAAAAGGGGAAAAUUGAUGAAUCCCUCUUUCUUCUUCUUCUUUUUCAAAUAUCAUCUUCCUCUCGGAUUGUUUUCCUUGGCUGUUGAUCAAAAAAUCAAAUCUUUUUCUUCCUCAUCUUCUGGGUUUCCAAAGGUGAUUUCUGGGUUUGUCUCAAUUUUGAGCAUGUUUCCCCGUUCAUUUGGUUUCAAAAUCAAAUGGAGUGGGACAGCGAUUCCGAUCCUAGCGGCGGAGAAGAUGUGGCUGAUGACGGAUAAGAAGAAGGAGCUUGUUGAUGACAAGAAGCUGGAGAUUCAGAAGCUGCUGAACCUUGAGGCUGAGCAGUUUAAUCAGGUUUUUGAUCAGCUUGUUUCCAUUGGGAGAUUGAUCACUGACUUCCAUAGGGAGGAGAGGAGAGGAGAGAAGAGAAGAGAUAUGUCUCAGAUCUGAAUCAAUUCAUCAUCAUCGUUCCUUGUGAAUAUAAGUAUAACGUCGACAAAGAAAUGACGCUUCUCAAGUGAAAAUGGCGGUGGACUGUUCAACAAAGCUACUGAGAAGCUGCAAGGGAGAAUCGGUUACCAGCAUGUGUAUGUAGAUUUCUCAGACCUUGAAGUCACAGUUCCUUAAAGUGUGAGGGAUGCGUGGGAGCUGUGAAACGAGUCCUAGGCAAAAUGCAAGUUGGAAGGGGUGAAUCGAUAAGGUCUAGCAAAGAUGGCGAACUUGCAAGUUUCUGGAAUAAUUGAAAAUGGUUUGUUUUCUUCUCUCUUUAGACUUCGUCUUCAUUGUCUUGAGAUUUUUUUUUUUGUAAUUGUUCUCUUUCCUUGGAA
This is a long non-coding RNA of Raphanus sativus (radish), 903 nucleotides long. RefSeq lists it as uncharacterized. NCBI's taxonomy places the organism in Eukaryota, Viridiplantae, Streptophyta, Magnoliopsida, Brassicales, Brassicaceae. The record is from RefSeq and is a predicted model, not a curated record. The transcript has 3 exons.